This 143-nucleotide ribosomal RNA is filed under the name Legionella anisa. RNAcentral's name for it is "partial 23S ribosomal RNA". The stretch from base 1 to 122 matches the Rfam family "Bacterial large subunit ribosomal RNA", at positions 2792 to 2925 of the family's 2925-position model. The record is from RNAcentral. Lineage: Bacteria; Pseudomonadati; Pseudomonadota; Gammaproteobacteria; Legionellales; Legionellaceae.
GCCUCCCUCAAGAUGAGUUUUCCCAUGAAGCCCGUUGAAGACUACGACGUUGAUAGGCAAGGUGUGGAAGCACAGUAAUGUGUGAAGCUAACUUGUACUAAUUGGCUGAUUGUCUUGACCAUAUAAUCUGAGUUACUUCAGAU